CGCGCGAGCCGGCGUCGGUGGCUCAUUUUCUUCCGGACAAGUCAAGGAUUUCUGCUGUGGGCUUCGAUCUACCGAUUCCCCCGACAUGUCGACGGCUCUGGCUAGGGUAUUGCGCCAAGAAGGGCUCGGCUCGUACGGUGCUCCAGACGGCGGCGAUGCUGUUUUCUCUGGAUCCGGGGUGAGGGGUGAAGAACGGUUAAUCGAAGCGGCAGACGGCUAGUGAGUUCAGUGUUAGUCUCCGGGGAGUAGAGGCUCUCUCAGCUCUACGACCGCCGGUCUUUGUUUCUGGGAGACGGUGGCUCUGUUAGCACCGUCAUCGCCGGCUCCUGCUUCCGGAAGGCGGUAGCUCAGUUAGUAUCGCUCUUCUCGGCUUUGGUUUUUUCUUUUCGCUUCAGUCUUUGUAGUUGUAGUUUUUUUUUCUGGUCUUUCGUUCUCGGUGUUGUCGGAUUCUCAAGCUUCAAAGCUCUUCCGCCUCUUGAUCUCUCACCUGAAACGACUCGUGAAUGUCGGGGGUGUUGGGUCAAUGGUAGACGGUUCUCAUGAGACUACACAGAUCGUGUUUGAUGUGUGUUUGGCCCUGUCGGCAUGGGAUACGGAUGAGAUCGCGAUGGGAAUGAUGCUCUCCGAUGAAAGAUCCCAUGCGACGUGAAGUUAGCGCGGUGGUGAGUGGGGGUUGGGCUGCGCCGCCGUCGUUCGGUGUGGCGCGGAAAUUAGGGUUCCCUGACCUAGGGUUUGGGUGUGGGCUGAAGGCCCAGUUUGUUGGGGCUGAUGGCCUUUCGUUCUGGAUUUAGUUGGGCCGGUCUGUUUGGGCCGAUUGUAGUUUGGUUCUGUUUGGGCUUUGUCCCUUUUUAAUGAUAAUAUUUAGACGGGAAAAAAAAAAGAAUGGGGAAUUGGAAUGCAUAUACAUAUCAAUACUAAAAAUGAAAUUUAUAACUAUAAUAAUUUUUUGGCUAUGAUAUUCUUUGUAUAAUAUAUAUAAAGAGAAAAAAUGCAUUUCAUCCCACUGUUUCAUUCUCACUCUCACUUACAUCGUUGAUCUCAUUCUUCUGAAACUACUUUUUAUUUUUCAAAAUUUAUAUUGAUUUUUAUUCUCUUUUUUCUUUUCAUAAUCAUUUACAAGUUUUAUGAAAUUCUUGGAAAGUGAUACUUCACAUGUCGUGCAAUCAUCUGAUCAAACAACUGUAUCUGAUCAAUUUUCUUCGUAUCUUUGUUUGGAUUUACAAUUUUACUAAUUUCAAUAUAUAUGGAUUAAAAAACAGAGUAUGCGUAAAACUAUUGAAGAAAAUGAACAGUAUGCGUUGCGUUAUACUAUUCCAUUUGAUAAACAUAAAAUAGUACAAUGCAACAUUUAUUGUUACAUCAUCUCCACAUCUUAUCCUCCUCCUCCUCUUCCAUCACCAUCAGUUACUACAAAAGAUCCCACAUGUAACAUCGUCACGUUCAGUUGUUUCAUCACCACCACCAUCUUCUCCUUUUCCACCAUUGCCACCCGUAAUCUCCUUACCUCUUCCCAAUAUAUCUUCUUCUCUUCUUCCACUUGUCGUAGUAGUUUUUCUCCUCCAUUAUUCAUGGCAACACCCUUCAAUCCUUCUGCAAAUUGUAUUUUUUUUAUAAGUUUCAUGAUUCUUAACAUUCGUUUUUCACACUCAAAUUUAAUACUUUUUUGUUAUUCUAUUUGAAAAAUAGAAUAGAAAUCGAACGUUCUCCUUCUUUCUUCGUCUUCCUCCGCCCGUUCUCUUCUUUCUCCUCCUCCUCCUUUCUCCUCCUCCGAUCUCUUCCUACCUCGUUCUUCUCCUCCUCAUCCUUUUCCUCCAAAUAGUAUACAAUAUAUAGAUCGAUGUAUACUAUUUCUCUUCACAAAUAGUAUAGUUUUAUUUUUUGUUUUGCAUAUACACAAUAGACGUGCCGCUAAGGAGAAAAUGGUCCAACUUUGCUUAUAAUUAUCACAUCAAAGAGUAAACACUGUAAAAUGGCUAUAUUCUUCAUUUGUGAACCCCUUAUGAAUAUCCAGCAAAUUGACCCAUUUAGAAUCUUUAAACGAAAAAGUGUUUUAUGCAAACUACUUGAAAAAUGUUAUAUGAGAUUUUUAGAAUGAUGUAAAUGAAAUCGUUAGACAUGAAUUUUCAUAAAAUAAUUCAAAAUAGUGCAAAUAAAACUGCCUUAUAUGAAUUUCUAUAGUGUUAAGUAAAAUUAAUAUUCUAACAUUUUAUUCAUUUAGAUAGUAUUUUAACAAUAAUACAUGAUAAAAAAUUUAAUUUUGUAUAAUGAUACAGAAUUAAUAAGCUACAUUGGUAGGUUUGAUGGACCUUUCUAAUUCUAAUAAUAAUACCCUUUUUUGUCAACCAUUCUAAUAAUAAUAAUACUAUUAUCAACAAAUAUUUAGCUUCUCAUAAAUUUAGUAUAAAUAUGUAAAGUACUAUUUUAAUAAUAACGUGAUGAAUGGUUAUUUAAAAUUCUAUGAAUAUAAACCUUAUAAAGGCAAGAAAAUAAGCUAGCUCAUUGCAUAUUAUAUAUUUUGGGUGAUCAAAUGCUAAGAGCAUGAUUAUUGAAGGGUUCUAACCUAAUAUCAAACAAAAAAAAUAAACAGAAAAGUAGGAGAGAAAAAGAAGGAGAGCAUUUCGCAGGCGAGAUACUCAUAUCUAAUUUAUUGUCCACAUGUCAUUUUAAUACAGGCUGAUUUUUUUUAACAAUGAAAUUUAGUUAGAUAAUUUAGUUUGUUUAAAAAAUUAAUAUUCUGAAUUCUGAUGUUUUAAGAAACCCACUAGAUUUUGAUCCGCGUUUCAAAAGCGCAGCUAUUUUUUUGUUGAUCCUUUUGAUAAAUUUUUCUUGAAUUUAAUUUUUAUUAAAUAAAUAAUUUUUAAGUUGUUUUAUCAUAAUGUUAGAGUUUGAAGCAUCAUUUUUAUAUCCAACCCUAACUCAUGGUCGCAUCGGUACACUCGACGACCCAUAAUAUAAUCCAGUUCGCAUUUAUAAAAAAUAUGAUAAACCUAAUAACAUACCAAAAAUCUGCUAUUAACUCGUAACGAUACUGAUUGAUCUCAUAUAAACUCAGAAAAAAAUGAUUAAAUUUUUGAUUAAAUUUUUCAUAUAUUUAGAAAACUAAAAUUGAAUAAAUUUGUGAUUUCCUAGAUUUUGAUUAAAAUUUUAUUAUAUCAUUCGAAAAAAUGUUAACAGAAAAAAAACAAAUCUUAUUGAUAUAAUAGUAUUAGUUUAUUUUUGUUACAAAUAACUUAGUAUAAGUUUAUGUUUUCAUUUUUAGGUUUAAAAGGUAAUUUUAUAAUAUUUUUCUUUAAUUAUUUAUUAUGUUAAUUUUUAGGUAAAAUUUUAAUUUGGUUAUACAAAAUAUUCAAAGAAUAUUUUUUUAUGAUGGGUGAAAAUUAAAAUUACUGAUAUUCAAAUAUGUAUACGAUGUAUGGUUUAGGGUAUAGUAUUUUAGUUUAUAUUAGAAAAAAAUAGUUAUAUUGAAUAUAUGCAUAAUAUUUGAAUGAUUUAUUUUGAAUAUUGAUACAUAGUUUUUUGAAAAAUAAUUAGAUGUUAUUUUUAUUGUUAAUCUAUACCCUUUUAUUUCUUUUAGUUAUGAAUGAUUUUGAAUUGUAGAAAAAACAUAGAUAAGUUUUUAAUUAGUAUAAAAAUCUUAGUGCAUUUUUAGUAUGUUUACUUAGAGUACGUUUAGAAUAAAUAUUUAUUCUAUGUGAUUUGAUUCAAAAUUCGUAAUGAAUGAAUAUUAAAAUAACCACUCUUGUAUUUGGUAAGAUACCAUACUGACCUAUUAUUGUGGGGCAGAGUAUAAUUAAUUUGGUCAAUUUAUUGUUAGCUUAAAUAUAGUUAAAUCUCUAAAACCAAAAGAAUAUUAUGCUAUUAAUGAAUAUUAAAAUAAUCGCUCUUGUAUUUGGUAAGAUACCAUACUGACCUAUUAUUGUGGGGCAGAGUAUAAUUAAUUUGGUCGAUUUUAGUGUUAGCUUAAAUAUAGUUAAAUCUUCAAAACCAAAAGAAUAUUCUGCUAUUAAUGAAUGUUUUAUUCUCUAUUAAUAUUAUUGAUACUAUAUAAAAGAAGACAUGUUAAGUUUCUAACAAAUAGGUCCAACAACCUCUUAUAAGUAGAUUUUUUAGGAUUUUUCUCUUUUAAUAGUAUUGAUGUAAUUUCAUACAAAUGGUGCUGCUCCAAGUAAGUAUGUGACUUAUAUCUGAAAUCCGUUAUCCGAUCCAGGAUUUGCUCCGAUCCGAUCCAAAAAAUCAGAUAUUUAGGGGUCCGGAUCCGGAUCUUGAUUUUACGGAUUCAGCGGAUCCGGAUACGGAUCUGGAUAAUUAAAUAAAUCAUUUUAAUUAACUAGUUUUUAAUUUAAUUUUUAAUUUUUUUUAGAAAAUGAUCCGGAUCCGGAUAUCUCAAAAUAUUCUGGAUAUCCGAUCCGUCUCAGGGCUAGCUCUAAGUACUGAAACUUUUUUAAAAAAAUAAUGAAUAUCUAUAUAUAUAAAAAAAAUGUUUGCCUCUCUCCUGUGAUACCUCGUCACUAAGUCGAUCACUCUGGAUGCGACACUUGUCCUUCUCCUAAAUACUAUGCGUUUCAUUUACGUGAUUCCUUUGGGCUACACUUAACAAUUUCUGGGCUUUUAUAUUUUAAUCAUGAAACCCAUAGUGAGCGAUGAUUAUCGUCUUCUCCCAGAUCGAUACAAAAUUCUAGGGUUCAUGACUCUCAUGUUCUUCUUCCAUCUAUGGAAGCAACGAUGGAGAUUCGAGAUGCCAACAAUGGAGCUUCGAGAUGUUCAAUCGACGUGAAGUGUCGCUGUUUGAAUCUUCAAUCCCGGCGAAGAAAUCUGGAGACAUUACGCAAGUCCGUUAAAACCCACAACCAUGCUUAAGAAUAUAGAUAAACCUCACCUUUUUGACCCUAUCACACUGAAAUCAAAGGGUUAAGAAACUAACCUGCUCAGCACUAUGGAUCAAGACAGUUCAUUUUGUUUCUGUUGCAGUAGUGUCGACGCCCCCCCCAGCAAAUAGAGCAACCUGAAGAAAGUAUAAAAAGGGUUCGUGAACAUUCAGAUAUCGAAACCAAGAACGAAAUAAGCAUAAAGCUAUAAUUCCUAAGCGCAUAAAUUUGAUGAAAACAACUAAAACAUGGACAGCAAAGUACAAACAAAAGAAAACGAUCUCACCUUUGCUUUUACCAUUCGCUUUAUGCUCCCAACAGCAUCGCUUUCCAAGACCAUGCCACGGACAAUGCAAGAGUUGUGCAAUCCUCCUGCAAGAAGCUUGGCAACACGGACGUUACCCACAUUAAAAUUGGUUGGAUUCUUUGGGCAUACCUGAAUACAUGCCUGAAUAAAAAAAAACAAGAACAAGUAAUCAACUAAAAGCAAAACCUCCAAUAAACAUGAGUAACCAACCAACAAUGAAACAGAAACACUCACAUCAGCUACUAAGGAACAAAUAAUCUCCUCUUGACCAAACUGCUUGCUAGCAACAGCAGCUCUCAUUCUAGAAACAACUUCAUCUUUGCUAUGCACAUCCAUCCUCUCAGAACCACUCUCAACCAAUUCUUCAAGUACCUCAACAACCUGCAUUCAUACACUCCUUAAGCCAAAACAAAGCCACGAAUAGUGAUCCAGGUAAGUCACAAACCAAACAAACCUUAAUGAUUGCUUUGUUAUAUCCACUAAUGAUCUCACUCGGAUGCAACCCCAUCCUGAUAAGCUCCUCCGCAGUCCGUAUUCUGUAAAAGCUCUCCCGCAAAAGAGAUGGUGAGGGUAGCUCCAUCUCCGAUCUCUUCCUGCAGCGCCUUGGCUGCUAAAACAAGAAUCUUCGCAGCAGGGUGCUGAAUCUCGAGCUCAUUCACAAUGGUCGCAGCGUCGUUGGUUACAAAGAGCUUAUCUGAAUGGUUUAUAACCAUUUUGUUCAAUCUUAACAAACAAAGAAGGGCCUAUCAGAUUUACAUUACUCACUAAACCGUAAGCAGAUCAACCACUAUAGAUUCUAAUUAUAUCGGAGAAACAUACUCGCGGAUCCCGAUAAAAAUGAAUCAAGGAAGCGAUUAGCGAACCAUUGGGGCCGAGAGAAGUGCGGGUGAUGGUGGAGAGCUCCUUGCAAGCUUUGAUGUUUUUGAUGACGGCUUGGUGUCUGUAGCCUUCCUUGAGCAUCGAUUGGAUACCGUACAACUGCAUCUUCUCCAAUUGCGAUCUAUAAGCUUAGCUCUUCCCGUACUAAAGAUUAAAGAUCGAAGCUCUCUCUCUGUUAUAGUUUGUUGCUUUGUGAGAGUGUAAAAGUAUCUGGAAUGCCCUAGAAAGUAGAAACCUUUUGAAGUUUUGAAGUACUCUGUUUUCUCCGUAACAUUGGUUUGAAGACUCUUAAACAUCGUCGUUUUUAAAGCUUUAAGGGUAGAUUACAGUUUUAAACUCUGGGUAUCGAUCUGACAAUCUUUAGUUCCGCAGAAUGAAAUUAAGAUUAUACGGAAUUUUAGGGACCACGAGAGAGAAAUAUGUUUUCAACUACAAAAUACCUUUUGGUAGGAAUACACAAUACAUAUCAAUAUCCAUUUAACCAAAAUAAUCUAAUUCGAAAGUGAACCGUUUAGAAUAUUUAUACAUUAAAGUUUUUCAAUAUUAAUUAUCUCAUUGAUUGUUAGAAUUUGAAUUUCUCUAAUUAAUAAAAAAAAAUUAUUAAUAAACUAAGAAUCUUAUGAUUGCUCCAAUAUGAGCUUUGAAGGAAACAAGAACAAAUCAUGAGUUUUGUUAUAUCAGAUGAUGCGUCCUCCUUAUACAAGGAACAAAACACAAUAUAAUAUUGUUUAGAGAAAGCAUAGGAACCAACAUAUAUAAUGACGUUCUCAGAUAUCCUAAACCUGAAAGUAAAAAAAAAACAUAAUAGUGAACCUCAUCUAUUAUAUGGUAUUAUAAUAUUACAAAGGUAUUAUAUACACAGUCGGAGUUUUUGGAGCUUUUUCUUGGACACCAAUUCUAUUUAUAUCUCCACUCACAUUUAUUAAUUGAAAUAUUUUUAUAUAAAACUACAUAAAUGUUUUUAAAAGUAAGAGAUGUAUCAUGAAUAUUUUUUUCCAAAAAUAAAGAUUUUGUGUGUUUUCACUAACAUAAAUAUAUAUUUACAAACAUGUAAAUUUGGAAAAUGAAAUUACUUACAGUAACUUUACCCAAUUAGAUAAAAUAAUUUAGAAAAAAUCAUAUAAAACAUCCCAUAUUAAAAAUGGAGGUAUAUCAACAUUAAAAUACAACAAUUAUAGACGAGACGAUAUUAGUUUAUAUUGUUUACAUAAACAUAAACAUUUGACUGCGGCAGCAAAGCAUUUUCCAUAUCAUAAAGUGAUUGUUGCCACAAACAUAAAUCCGAAAAUGGUUGGAGAUAUUCUGUUGGUUCAUUCCGUAUAGUGUCAUAUUGUAACGGCCCGGUUCCUAGCCCAAAAAUUUAUUAAGGAGAGCCCGUUAAGACUGCAGCCCAUUAGGGUAAAUGACCUAGGGUUUCCUCCUUUUCCUAUAAAUGAAGCUGCCUCCUCUCACUUUUCUCUCAUUUCUGAAACUUGAGCGAAGCUCUGCAGAGAUUUAGAGAGACUAGGAAACCCUAGCCGUCAAGCUUCUUUUUUUCCUUUUCUCUCUUCUUCUCUCACGCCUCUCUUUCUCUCUCUCUCUCCGUGAUCUCUCUUCUCUCUCCUUGCCGCGAGCCCCCCCAAGAGCAAGCCGAGCCGCCAGUGGUGGUGGUGGUGGACGUCCAAGGGGUGGUGGGGUGAUCGUCCGAGUGUGGUGAUGGUGGUGGUUGUGUGGUGUUGUGGUGGUGACCAGAUCUCGUCUCUCUCUUGUUUACUUGUUCCAGAUCUGUUCAGAUCUCCUCUCCCUUGUCUUUUGUUCCCAGAUCCGGAUCCAGAUCUAGGCUAAGGUGGAGUGUCUUGAACCCAUCUUGUUCUCAUGUUCUGUAUACUCCUUUAUGUUGGAGUUAGGUUUGAUUAGACCCUGUUUGAGAGUUAGAUUGAUAGAACAUGAAUAUUGCUAGGAUGAUAGAUGAAUGGAUCAUGAUGCAUAAGAACCUUCAUACUGAUAAAUGGGACUUGAUGAACUGAAUUGAGUUGUUGUGGUGAUGAUUGAUUGGUAGUUGAUACUUGUAUGUUUAGAAGUGUUGUCCCAUGUGAUGUGAUUGAAGUUAGGAUGCUAGAGAUAAAUAAAUGUUAAGCUGAUAGAUGAGUAAUGAUUAUAGAAGUUAUUGAAGUAGAACUUGAAUGCGAUGUGUAUUGUGUGUGACACCGAUAACGGGUGGCGUCUAGUGAUUGAGUCAAAGUACAAGUAUGAAUGAAAAAGGAAAGUAAAUGAGAAUGGGAAGGGAUAAGUGAAAGUGAUAAGGAUGUGAAAUGAUAAGUAAAAGUAAGAAAGAAUGAUGUUACGGUUAAGCAUGGGUGGGAAAGCAUAUAGAGUCUAAGGAAAGUAUGUGGGGUAGUAGUUCACGCUAGGUAUCCAUAGGAGAUGUGGCCAAUCCACAUGAAUAUGGAAGCACCCAUAGGAGAUGUGGCCAAUCCACAAGAAUAUGGGGUAGAAGCCUAGUUGGGGCUACCCACUGAUGAAAAGGACGAAAAGAUGAAAAGGAUGUGCAUUGUAGGGUUUUAGCUCAUGGUCGGGUAACGGGGAGUUAAAGGAGUCAUAUGAUCGAGUCGGACUGGUAUGAGGAGACGGUUAAGUCUAGGGUUUAACGUGUGUGGCAAUGAGUGAGAUCAUUGUAUUGAUUGAUCACUAGGUUGCUAGAAAUGUAUGAAAUCGAAUGUUGGGAACUAAUGAUGAUGAUAUGAAAUGAUAAAAAUGCAUUAACUGAUUGUAGUGGCUAGUCAGCCCUAGUUCCCGCAUAGAGUAGUAUAGAGUGUCAUGCGGGCAGGCUGGUCUAGAGCCACUUCACUGAGUAACUUGUUGCUCACUCCUCCAUUUCCAUUUCCCUGUGCGCAGGACUGUAAGUAGAAGUAUAUGGAUGUGGGUGUGACGGUAUUUCAAAGAAGGUUAUGCGCUCGUCUCUCGGGACCAGUAACGGGACACAUAGGGUUGUCUAAAUGAGUAGACACGUGUCCAUAACGCCCCUUCGAUAACCCUGGUCGGACGCCGGGGGAUCGGGCUGUUACAAUUGGUAUCAGAGCGGGUUAAGAUCCCUUAGUUCCGUCCUAAGGGAUCAGCAUUUCCGACGUAAAAAAAAAAAAAAAAAAAAAAAAAAAAAAAAAAAAAAAAAAAACUUGUUUUCAUUAAAAGAAAAGAGUUUGUGAAAGUUUUGAUUCUCCUAAAAGAUCUGAAAACGAUUUCAAAACCACCCACUAUAUUUAUACUUCUAGUAUGGUUCUGAUCGGAUGUCUACUUGAAAGAUGUCUUCACAAUCAGUAACGACCAGAGAGACAUGAAUGUAAGAGAAUACAAUAAGGAUGUAAUCCCCCGAGGAGAUUUGUCGGGCACCCUCUAAGGGAGAGAGAACUGACUCACCGCUUCCUGAAGGAAAUGAAAACCGAUUUGAAGAAUAGUUGUGACGUGCAAGAUUACUGGGAUCAUGAGCUAAUCAAGAUUACGUGCAGAGUUAUAGUUUUGGUUGUAAGAAGAUCAUAGGCUAACCAAGCAUCACAUACUCACAGUCCAAGGAGAACUUACGACAUCACCAUUAACACAAGGCGGUUUAUUGUGACAAGAGUGGAAGUGCGAGAAGAACCACACUAAGAGAAAAUGGAUGGGAGCGUACUACUAGUACAACCAGUAAGGUUAUUGAUAGACCGCGGUCCACGGAUCAGUACAUGGAGCCGAACCAGCAUGAAGAUCAGGACGUUCUGAAGUUUUCAACCGAGGUUCAUGAUUUUCACCAUACUGGCCAGACUGACCGGACUGUCCCAAAUGCAUCCGGAUGGGAGCUUUGGCUGGAACCAUGGCCAGAUGAUCGAUUUCACUGUACUGGACUUUGUCUUCACUGUCCUGUUUUCCAUUUGAUGAAGAACAGUCGAGACGGAAUCGCAUUCGGACGCACCAUUCUUCUCCAGUCCAUCGCAACUCAAUUCUGUACUGUACCGCACGUACUGCCCGUUCGACCAGUUUGAGGCUUCAUCAAUACCCAUGUCCAGACGAUCGAAUUCACCGAACUGGAGCUCGUAAUUCCCGUACUGAUUGGCAUUUUAAGAGCAACGGUCAAGACAGAUUUGGAUUCGGACGAGUGGAACUCAAGAUAGGCCGUGACACUUCAAAACUGGCUACUUUGGACUGUCCUGCUUGUGUACUGGCCCAGUCCGCAGGACAUGCUUCAGGAUACAAUGAACCUGGACAGAAUUUGAAGGGUAUUUCGCCAGUCAAAGUGUGAUUUCGUGCCUUGACCAGAUCUGGUCAAUUUUAUCAUUUUCUAUGUUUAGAUUUCCCACAAAUGUCUUUAUGUUUCUUUGACUCACAAACCUUAUAAGUAUGUGAUGAUCCCCCUUAAUAAGAUAAUCGAUUUUUCUUUCAUUUUAUGAGUUUAUUCUCUUUGUUCUUUGCUUAGAACAUUUCUUAGUUUCUUUGGUGUGGUUAGCUCCAAACAAACACCUCUUUCUUGUUGGACCGGUGCGUCACAUCCGGCAACAGAUCGAGAUUGUCUCUCCAACGGACCUGUGAGUCAUAUCAGGCGUUGAAAGACACUUAGACAGUAUCAUUGGGUCAUUCCGCAGCCCCUUGUGUCGUCAUUCAUCCCACCAGUUCUCCUUUCGGAGUUCAUAUCCCCCUUACCGGUUGAGUAGCGUUUCCUAGGGUUUUUCAAGUGGUAUCAGAGCCACUCUUCCGGUAACUCUAUUAUCAUUCCAUCUUCUCAUCUCUCCAUCUUCUUCAAACACUUCUUCUUCUACCUUUCUUAAAUCCGGGCCCCUCAUUACCAUCCAUAUAAAAAAAAAAAAAGAA
This is a long non-coding RNA of Brassica rapa (field mustard), 10866 nucleotides long. RefSeq lists it as uncharacterized. The record is from RefSeq and is a predicted model, not a curated record. NCBI's taxonomy places the organism in Eukaryota, Viridiplantae, Streptophyta, Magnoliopsida, Brassicales, Brassicaceae.